UGGGAACCUUCCCUAUGGUUCGGAAUAGCUCAGGGGAAACUUGAGGUAAUACCGGAUAAGCCCUUCGGGGGAAAGAUUUAUCGCCAUUGGAUGGGCCCGCGUCGGAUUAGCUAGUUGGUGAGGUAACGGCUCACCAAGGCAACGAUCCGUAGCCGGUCUGAGAGGAUGAUCAACCACACUGGGACUGAGACACGGCCCAGACUCCUACGGGAGGCAG
Molecule: ribosomal RNA, 217 nt
Filed under: uncultured bacterium
Lineage: Bacteria
Description: partial 16S ribosomal RNA
Rfam family: Bacterial small subunit ribosomal RNA
Source: RNAcentral